This 202-nucleotide long non-coding RNA is filed under the name Elaeis guineensis (African oil palm). RNAcentral describes it as "long non-coding RNA (EGUI_LNC024181)". Lineage: Eukaryota; Viridiplantae; Streptophyta; Magnoliopsida; Arecales; Arecaceae. The record is from RNAcentral.
CCUUCUACUGGACAGCAGCACCAAUCACUGCUUCAGAUUCUCCUAGAGAAACUAUAGAUCUCCUGUCAUGCUCUGAACCCAUCUAUCAUCUCCUGGAUUUGUUUCAAUCCUUUCAUAGGUAUCCAGAUCUUCUCUCACUGCCAUCACUGCAUAUGACACCGUAUCUUCAGAGUCAUUUCUUUUCGGCUGUCACACAUCCCGC